This 1287-nucleotide long non-coding RNA is filed under the name Cricetulus griseus (Chinese hamster). RNAcentral describes it as "lncRNA (ENSCGRG00015037148.1)". The record is from RNAcentral. Lineage: Eukaryota; Metazoa; Chordata; Mammalia; Rodentia; Cricetidae.
UGACUCCCGCCUUUCUGUCCGGAAGGUCAGGAUAGCAGCUGUCUAGAAAACCAACAACUGUCUGCCCUGAGGUAAAGUGUUUACACCGUCAGGUGAACUCCGAGAACUUUUCUGGCUGUACACGCAUUCAAAAAACAGUGCAAAAAAAAAAAAAAAAAAAAAAAAAAAAAGGAGAGACCUGUUGAAAACCUGACUUUGUUUUCCCCAGAAACUCAAGUUCUAACAACACAACUUUUUUGUGUAAUUGCAUUUUAUUACUUAAGUUGUACUUUGUGUGCUUGAGUGCAGGCUUGUGUGGGUCAUAGAGGACAACUUGCAGGAGUCCAUUAUCUGACAACUUGGGUAGUGGGAAUUGAACACCUAUGUCAGUACUUAACUGGCUGAGCCACCUCACCUCACAACAAGAUUGGCUCCUUGGUGACAUACACUUGAGACUCCCAGGCCUUCUGAAGUCUGCUAGACCUUCACAAACCCAAGACCACAAGUUCAGUCGGUAGCCUUGGAUUAUUGUUCUGCUGUUGGUAUUGGAUGGCAUGGUGUGUAGACGGAGCCUGGGUGUUCACACAGGCCAGUGUGCCCUCUAGAGAUCCCGCAGUUCUUGAUGAUGAGGAAUUUUAAAACUCAAACCUUUGGGCCUCCUCUGCCUUUAGUUUGCUGCAAUGUAAGGGUGAAGAAUUCUUAUCACCACCUUUUACAAGCUGGAAACUGGUGCUAAGCCUUACUGAACACUUGGAAGUUCUUAAUCUCUUUCUACAGCCUCACUAGCCUGUACUCACUGUGUAGCCCAAACUGGCCUGGAACUUGGACAUUCUGAGCUUGGAUUACAUGAACUCAGGAGCCAAAUACUGGGAAAGCCUGCUAGCUCAGAGUCAGAGAGCAACCAGAUGAUCUUCCUCCUCCAACAUCCCAGAAGCCGCCUCCCACCCCCACAGCUGUGUCAAACCAACCUCCUCAAACUCAAUGUCCCUAACUACUACCUCCUAUGUAUCUCUAUCUGUCUUCUGACUCCCUCUUACUCUGUGUGCUUUUUUGUUGCUCUUGUUUUGGGAUUUUUGUUGUUGUUGUUGUUUUUCAAGACAGGGUUUCUCUGUAUAGCUCUGGCACUCGCUCUGGAGACCAGGCUGGCCUUGAACUCACAGAGAUCCACCUGCCUCUGCCUCCCAAAUGCUGGGAUUAAAGGUGUGUGCCACCAACACCCAGCUCUGUAUGCUUUUUUCAUAAUAAUCCUAUGUUCAUUUUCUUGAUCUGUUGACUUUAUUUUGAAGGUACCAGCCCACAUUUCAGCAG